Molecule: ribosomal RNA, 254 nt
Filed under: uncultured bacterium
Lineage: Bacteria
Description: partial 16S ribosomal RNA
Rfam family: Bacterial small subunit ribosomal RNA
Source: RNAcentral
UACGGGGGGAGCAAGCGUUGUUCGGAUUUACUGGGCGUAAAGGGCGCGUAGGCGGUCAGCACAAGUCAGUUGUGAAAUCUCCGGGCUUAACUCGGAAAGGUCAACUGAUACUGUGCGACUAGAGUGCGGAAGGGGCAACUGGAAUUCUCGGUGUAGCGGUGAAAUGCGUAGAUAUCGAGAGGAACACCGGUGGCGAAGGCGGGUCUCUGGGCCGAUACUGACGCUGAGGAGCGAAAGCGUGGGGAGCGAACAGG